Molecule: ribosomal RNA, 1670 nt
Filed under: Hippea jasoniae
Lineage: Bacteria; Pseudomonadati; Campylobacterota; Desulfurellia; Desulfurellales; Hippeaceae
Description: bacterial SSU rRNA
Rfam family: Bacterial small subunit ribosomal RNA
Source: RNAcentral
GCUCAGAACGAACGCUGGCGGCGUGCCUAACACAUGCAAGUCGUGGGAGAAACUCUCCUUCGGGAGAGGAGUAAACCGGCGCACGGGUGAGUAACACGUGGGUAACCUGCCCUGAAGUCUGGGAUAACCCACCGAAAGGUGGGCUAAUACCGGAUAGUUCCCUGCCUCACAAGAGGCAGGGGGAAAGGGGGCCUCUGCUUGCAAGCUCUCGCUUCAGGAUGGGCCCGCGGCCUAUCAGGUAGUUGGUGGGGUAAAAGCCUACCAAGCCUACGACGGGUAGCUGGUCUGAGAGGAUGGUCAGCCACACUGGCACUGAGACACGGGCCAGACUCCUACGGGAGGCAGCAGUGGGGAAUAUUGGGCAAUGGGCGAAAGCCUGACCCAGCGACGCCGCGUGGAGGAUGAAGGCCUUCGGGUCGUAAACUCCUGUCAGAGGGGAAGAAGGCAUAGAGGGCUAAUACCCCUUUAUGCUUGACGGUACCCUCAGAGGAAGCACCGGCUAACUACGUGCCAGCAGCCGCGGUAAUACGUAGGGUGCGAGCGUUGUUCGGAAUCACUGGGCGUAAAGCGUGCGUAGGCGGCCCUGUAAGUCCAAUGUGAAAGCCUUGGGCUCAACCCAAGAAUUGCAUUGGAUACUGCAGGGCUCAGAGUGCGGGAGAGGCAAGCGGAAUUCCCGGUGGAGGGGUGAAAUCCGUAGAUAUCGGGAGGAACACCGGUGGCGAAGGCGGCUUGCUGGAACGCAACUGACGCUGAGGCACGAAAGCGUGGGGAGCAAACAGGAUUAGAUACCCUGGUAGUCCACGCCCUAAACGAUGGACGCUGGGUGUCGGGAGGUAACCUUCCCGGUGCCGUAAGCUAACGCGUUAAGCGUCCCGCCUGGGGAGUACGGCCGCAAGGCUAAAACUCAAAGGAAUUGACGGGGGCCCGCACAAGCGGUGGAGCAUGUGGUUUAAUUCGAUGAUACGCGAAGAACCUUACCUGGGCUUGACAUGCUGGUGGUAGUGAACCGAAAGGGGAACGACCCCCGCACCUAUCUGCUUGGAGUUUGUUUUUCAUUUCCCUUUUGUAUAAGGGAUUAAGAGUUUAUCCUGGCAGAUAGGUGCGGGGGAGCCAGCACAGGUGCUGCAUGGCUGUCGUCAGCUCGUGUCGUGAGAUGUUGGGUUAAGUCCCGCAACGAGCGCAACCCUCGCCCUUAGUUGCUAACGGGUAAUGCCGAGCACUCUAAGGGGACCGCCAGGGACAACCUGGAGGAAGGUGGGGAUGACGUCAAGUCAUCACGGCCCUUAUGCCCAGGGCUACACACGUGCUACAAUGGGGUGUACAAAGGGUUGCAAUCCCGCGAGGGUGAGCUAAUCCCAAAAAGCACCCCCCAGUUCGGAUUGCAGUCUGCAACUCGACUGCAUGAAGCCGGAAUCGCUAGUAAUCGCAGGUCAGCUACACUGCGGUGAAUACGUUCCCGGGCCUUGUACACACCGCCCGUCACACCAUGGGAGUCGAUUCCACCGGAAGACGGUGAGCUAACCGAGCCCUCACUUAAGUUUAUGGACUUUAGAUUUUAUCUUAAGUAUUACUCUUGCAAGAAAUACCUCUUGGCAAUUAAAGAGUCUGUAGACUGAAGUGAGGGCUCGGAGGCAGCCGUCCAUGGUGGGGUCGGCGACUGGGGUGAAGUC